UACGAAGGGGGCUAGCGUUGUUCGGAAUGACUGGGCGUAAAGCGCACGUAGGCGGCUUGUUAAGUCGGGGGUGAAAUCCUGAGGCUCAACCUCAGAACUGCCUUCGAUACUGGCGAUCUUGAGUCCGGAAGAGGUUGGUGGAACAGCUAGUGUAGAGGUGAAAUUCGUAGAUAUUAGCUAGAACACCAGUGGCGAAGGCGGCCAACUGGUCCGGAACUGACGCUGAGGUGCGAAAGCGUGGGGAGCAAACAGG
This 253-nucleotide ribosomal RNA is filed under the name uncultured bacterium. Its description in RNAcentral is "partial 16S ribosomal RNA". It matches the Rfam family "Bacterial small subunit ribosomal RNA", at positions 524 to 776 of the family's 1533-position model. The record is from RNAcentral.